Molecule: long non-coding RNA, 2136 nt
Filed under: Numida meleagris (helmeted guineafowl)
Lineage: Eukaryota; Metazoa; Chordata; Aves; Galliformes; Numididae
Description: lncRNA (ENSNMEG00000016785.1)
Source: RNAcentral
AAUUGCUUUAGCAAACUUCUCCUGAUUUUAACAUUCCUCUAGAUAUUAAGGUUGCAUUUCAUGAUUUAUUCCUGCUUCCUGGUAAUGCGGUGUCUUGUUUCAUAGUGGGUACUUGAAUAUUUGUUAGUAAGAGGACAUGUGAGAGUAAGAGGCACUUCUUCCAGCAGAAACACCUGCACUUUCCAACUUGCCCCUGGUCAGGAGAGUUCAACAACCAAAGUUAUAACAUUCUGUGUGCAAGGAUGAACAUCUUUUCAGUAUAAGUACAAAGAAAAGCCUUAAUAAAAUAUAAUAUGUGAAUAGGAGUAUCUAUCUUGCCUAAUGUUGUAUACCUAAAAGGCUGAGCACCUAAGCAAUGAUAAAAAGACUUCCUCUGCCGAGCAGCAGGAAGACAUGAGUCCCUGGGGCAAAAUAGCCCAUUUCCACUGUGAGGCAGGGCAUGGAUCAAUGUUGCAGGUGUUUGUCUUUAGUGACUAAGCUGUCCAGUGGACCAGUGAAGCUAGAUCCUUGACUUUUAGGUGAUUAAUGUACAUGAGAUUAAUCCUAUUCAUAAUUCAUGAUGUAAUAAUAACAUAAUUAGAUGAAUUCAUUGCUAUAUGUUUGUUGCCAUGCUCUGUGGAAAGCAGAAGUAAAAUGAAGGGAGACAAUACUGUAAAAAAGACAGAUGCUUAAAAUGGCAGAAAUUGAAGCACAGAUAUUCAAACUUAGUAAUGACAUACAUUAAAAUAGUUUUUGAACGGAAAUAAAAGAAAGCGAACCGAGAGAUAAGCUGUUGUGUGCUCGGAUUGGUGUCCAACUUUGAAUUUGCUGAAUUUGCCUUGAGAAAGAUUCGUGAUUUUGAAAUGUGUGGAAAAUUGCUGUAGGACCUCCUUUUUGUAUCAUCCACAGGCAUCCUGUGCUAAUGUAUGAUGUCAGUGUUCCCUGCACUGCCCAUUUUACCAGCAGAACAUCGGCGGAUGUGUGCUGGAAGCUGGCUGCUCUGCUCCAGGACGGCUGCACAAGGCAUGGAGGGAUGGGGAGCCCUUGCUGCUGAGUUCCAAGCUCUCUGCAAGAUUAUUUGCAGGAGUGAGGAGAAGGAGACAAGCAGUCCAGAACAUUAUCAGUCAGUUGGAGCCUGGUUAAGUACUUCAUCAUAAUUCGUCUUGAACAGCGUUAAAAAUUACAUGCCAUAAUUGAAGGAGAGGUGAUUUGCAGUGUAGUAGCCUGUUUGGUGAGUAUGUAGUUCUACAAAUACAUAAUUAUUGCUUUUAGGCUGAGUGCUUGUGGUCUGAGUCCUGGCGCAUAGGUCGCCAGCUCUGCCCAGUGCAGCUCUACGCAGUUGCCGUGGAUUCAGCGGUGCUGCCCCAAUGCAGGGCAACUCGGGAUCUUGCCAAGCCUACAAAUAUGAAUGCCAUUCUGUAUGUUAUUCCAGCUGUGUAAAUCUGAACUAUUAACAUCAUUAGUGUGUAUUUAUCACUGUCAGACUAAGAAAGCUGUGAAGAAACGGCUAUGGUCGAAAGCAGUUAAUUAAUGAGCUUAAAAACGAGAUUGUAGCUUAUCUUAAUGCAGCUAUAUAGGCAGAUGCAGGCUGUAAUACACCUUUUUCUCUAUCCUGCUGUCCCAGUUUCAGCCAGGAUGGAGUUGAUUUUUCUUUCAUAGUGUCUGGUACGAUGCUGUGUUUUGGCUGUAGGAGAAAAGCAAUGUUGAUAACACACUGAUGUUUUAGUUGUUGCUGAGCAGUGCUGAACAGAGCCAAGGCCAUUUCAGUUUCUUAGCUUCUUGUACUGCCCUAGUGAGGGGGGCCGAGGAGGCACAUGUGUCAUCCUUUGUUCCUCUUCCUUUUUCUGCCUUAUUAGAAGGCAGAAAGGUAGAAGUCAUCAAAUGGAAUUUUUCUUGUGCCAUGUGGGUUGCUAGGUUGUAUUCUGGAAAGUACCAUUAGACAGAUGAGGAUUAAAAAUGUGCUAGCAUCAGCCUAGGGAGGGGAAGAGGCCGUAUUUCUGUCCUCUCAGAGGUGGUGUGGAGCUGAAGUGAAGAGCUCAGGCAAUCCAUACAUGUACCUGGAGCAUCCACUUCUCUGUCUAAUUUUUGUUUCACAUACAAUGUAUGGCUGUUGGUCCCUUCAAGCACUUGGCAUUGCAGUCGAAAGUGCCUUGUAUU